AUUUCACCAACUUCCCGAUCAAAUUUUUUGCAUCUACACCGUUCAAUUCAUUGGGUUAUAUGAGUAGAUCAUUUAUACAAAUUUUCAGAUAAUUUAAUGAUCGUUAACCCAUUCAAAACUUCGAUUUAUUUUUAAUGAUCUUGAACGGUCCAGGUUUGAUAUAAAAGUGUGUAACUUUUUGUUUUAAUCUCAGCCAUCCAACCUCAUUAAAUGACAUAUCCAAUGAUGUGGGCUUAUCCCUAAAAGUAGACCAAAAAUAAGGGAUCCCUCAAUGGAGGGCCCUCUAUAUAUAAAUAUAUAUAUAUAUAUACACACACAAAGAGGAUGUGAAGCGGACGUCCGCACUCCGGCUUAAAGUGUGGACGUCGUCCGUUCUCCGCCGGCGAUGGCUUCUCUCCUUCCCGGACGACAGCACAGGCUUCCAGGACGGCUUCUCUCCUUCCAAGACUAGCCGGCGACAAGUUUUCGGCCAACCUUGAUCAUUCAUGGUGUUUUCCGUCCAGAGCUUCAAUCCGGCUGGAAAACUUGUCGCCGGCCAGUCCUAGAAGGAGAGAAACCGUCCUGGAGGGAGACAAACCCGUCCUGGAAGCCUCUGUUGUCGUCCGGGAAGGAGAGAAGCCGUCGCCGGCGUGAGACGGCGGAGAACAGACGACGUCCGCACUUUAAGCCGGAGUGCGGACGUCCGCUUCACAUCCUCUCUGUAUAUAUAUAUAUCGGAGAGGAUCUAAAGAGAACAUCUGCACGCCCUUAAAGUGCGGACGUCCCUCCGUUCUCCAUCGUAUGGCUCCAACGACAGUGCGCCACCACCCUAGCGGCCUCCAGCAGCGUCCCCGAUCACUUUCCCUCCCCGGUGAGUCCGCCGAAUUCCAGUUUUCUGACGAAAUCGAUUUUGUUUGAAGUUUUGGGUGAUCUCGCAGGAAAACAUAAAUUCGGCGGACUCGCCGGGGAGGAAAACUGAUCGGGGACGCUGCUGGAGGCCGCCAGGGUGGAGGCGUGCUAUCGUCGGAGCCGUACGGUGGAGAACGGAGGGAUGUCCGCACUUUAAGGGCUAUGCGGACGUCCUCUCUGGAUCCGGACUGAUAUAUAUAUAUAUAUAUAUAGUAGGGAGGAU
RNAcentral lists this long non-coding RNA (1111 nucleotides) under Fragaria vesca (wild strawberry). RNAcentral describes it as "long non-coding RNA (FVES_LNC004308)". The record is from RNAcentral. Lineage: Eukaryota; Viridiplantae; Streptophyta; Magnoliopsida; Rosales; Rosaceae.